UUCCCACAACCUUCAUCUUGACCAGAUUCAGAUGAAAUGCAUUGAUCUUGUGAAUUGGUCUCCCCCACAGUGCCCACUUCAUUGUGAGAUUGACCAAUUGAUUGAGUUGAAGAUGAUUCUUGGUCCAGGAGCUGAAAACCAAAAUGCUUUGCUUUGUGAUAAAGUUGGGAUGGAGAUUCCACUUUUAAGCCUAUAUUCUUGGAUAAAGACUGCGAAAUUUGCUGUUCAUUUGAAUGCCACCAGGAUGGGCUACUAAAAAUAAAGGGGGCUUGACCAAAAUUUUUCUUGGGCAAGUUCUGAAUUCGUACAGCCAUCUAGUUUAUCUAUAUGUCACGAAUUUGAUGAAAAUCCUUAACAAAGCACUGAUUCUUUUUGCUAGCUUUUGAUAUUACUGAUUAGCUGUCUAUGGAAAGAUAAGAUACAAUGAGCUAGGGCUGCCUCAAUAAAAUAUAAAGAAAUUGCAAAAUUCAUAACCAAAUUAUAAAGAAAAUGGAUUGCAUAUAGCAGUAAGACACACUCAAUACAAGUUUUGCAUGAUAAAAAAGCCAAUUGAAGCACCUCUUCGAUGCAUAGAAAUAGAAUCUCAAAUGCCCGCUAAUCUAAGUAGACCCUAAUGUAAGAGUGGAAAAUAAUAGCUAAUAUACCAUCCCAAUCAAUUCAAUUCAACACUUAGAACUGCAAAUCAGAAAUGCUAGUUUCUAACAUUUUUGCCCCUGAUUUGGAACAACUAAAUUCCAUAAAACUUAUGGAAUUCAUUUGCAUUUUCAUAGAUUUCAAGUUUUAAACCUUAAAAAAUAAAUUAUUAAAAAUCCCAAGGUUUCAAUUAUUAAAAUUGAUAAAAUUUGAAAAUGAGUUCCACAAGAGUUACACACCCUUCAUAACUUAAUCUUCAUUCCCAUCCCUCUUUCCCACUCUCUUUUUGCUACAUAUAUGGAAUUUUAGCGGGACAAAAAAAAAAAGAAUAGAGGAUUCACUUAUUCAUUCAUUUCAAACACAUUCUAUAUUUGAAUUCAAUUGAAGUUUGACACUAGUUUAAAGCAUGACAAAUAUGAAAUUCGAUUGCAAAAGAUUUCUAAGUCCCUAACCAUAGAAUUCAUUUAAAAAUGAAAUAAAUUUCCCAUUCAUUGGUUUUCAAAGAGUCAAACUUUCGAUGAUUUACCCACACUUCAUGAUAUUGCUUUAAAAAGGAUGUAAGAAUCCUAUUGUGAACCUAUCUCAAUAACAAAAUUAUUCCAAUACUGAACUCCCAUCAGCAUGACCGCGUUCGAACAUUUGUGUUUGCAAAAGCUCUCAUGUGCACGUGUGUGCUGUAAGCUAUUGAGAAUGGACAUACAAGGGGAAAAACAGGACCUGACUUCUACAACAAAUAUACAGUGGUAAAGCAGAAUAUUCAGAAUCAUUGCAUAAGACAAAAAAAAAUACCAAGCUAGAAAACCAUAUUCUGAAAAUAAUCGGCCACCCAAAAAAGCUUGCCAUAGUAAUAAGUGAUAUACCAAAUCAAGCUUAAGGAAAUGGGCACGUAUGCAAAUUUCCAGUAGUGGAGGAUGAAUGAAGCAGCCAAUAACAUUAGUAAAGCCACGUGUAUUUCUUCCACCAAACCCACAAAAGCAAUGAAUCUAAAUCAGCCACUGAUAUUGACAUGCAGAAGGGAAGCAUGUAUACAAAACACAUGUACAGAACAGCAACCAUAUUCAGUCGGAUGAUGAGAUAGCUAAAGGGACUUUCUAUGUGUAGUUAAGGAUAAAACGAAUUAGAAGCCUAACAUUAACAUGAACGCUUAUAAAAACAACCCAAUCACUCUUAACACUGAAUAAUUAUGAAAACAAGUCCAAUCAAAGAAACCUCUAGAUAAAUUGGGUUUACCAGACCAGUAAUAACCCAUUCAAUACAUAUCCAACAAAG
RNAcentral lists this unclassified non-coding RNA (1902 nucleotides) under Hevea brasiliensis (rubber tree). The record is from RNAcentral. Lineage: Eukaryota; Viridiplantae; Streptophyta; Magnoliopsida; Malpighiales; Euphorbiaceae.